Long non-coding RNA from Polypterus senegalus (gray bichir), 553 nucleotides. RefSeq lists it as uncharacterized. The transcript has 3 exons. Lineage: Eukaryota; Metazoa; Chordata; Cladistia; Polypteriformes; Polypteridae. The record is from RefSeq and is a predicted model, not a curated record.
CACGAUUAAAACUGUUAUGAAAACUCGGGUCGCAAAUACUUAAAGGUUGAGAAACGCUGGUCUAACGUGUUCAGUUCAGGGAGUUGGUUCUAUGACUUAAUAUUCUGUUCCAAAAGGGGUCGUCAAUACUGUGAGGGCUGUGGCUGCUAUGUUUCAUACAGGCCGCUCCUGCCUUCCUCUUAUGGUAUCAACACAUUGAGCAGCAGCAUGUGCUUGAACUGUAAGCCAGUGUAAGAGGUGGCUAUUUUUACAGUAUGAGCUGACCUGUGUUCCAGAAGGGUUUUUCUGAAAAAUUAAUAAAAGGAUACUAAAUGAGCACCUAAUUCUUCUUCCUCGAGUCACAGGAGGUUGGAGUCCAUCCUGGCAGCACUAACAGCAAGAUAAACAUCAGGCGUGUCAUUGAGCUGUUGGAGGAAAGCAGAGUCCCCAGAGAAAACGGACAUAGACAAUAUAGACAAUAUGAAAAUUCCACACAGGCAGUGACCAGGUGGAGAUUCAAACCUGGGAAUCUAGAACUUUAAGGUAGGACUGCCAGCCAUUGUGUUACUAAGGU